RNAcentral lists this ribosomal RNA (505 nucleotides) under uncultured bacterium. Its description in RNAcentral is "bacterial SSU rRNA". It matches the Rfam family "Bacterial small subunit ribosomal RNA", at positions 15 to 507 of the family's 1533-position model. The record is from RNAcentral.
GAUCCUGGCUCAGGAUGAACGCUAGCUACAGGCUUAACACAUGCAAGUCGAGGGGCAGCGGGAUUGAAGCUUGCUUCAAUUUGGCCGGCGACCGGCGCACGGGUGAGUAACGCGUAUCCAACCUUCCGUACACUCAGGGAUAGCCUUUCGAAAGAAAGAUUAAUACCUGAUGGUAUGAUGAGAUCGCAUGGUAUCAUCAUUAAAGAUUUAUCGGUGUACGAUGGGGAUGCGUUCCAUUAGGUAGUAGGCGGGGUAACGGCCCACCUAGCCUACGAUGGAUAGGGGUUCUGAGAGGAAGGUCCCCCACAUUGGAACUGAGACACGGUCCAAACUCCUACGGGAGGCAGCAGUGAGGAAUAUUGGUCAAUGGACGAGAGUCUGAACCAGCCAAGUAGCGUGAAGGAUGAAGGUCCUACGGAUUGUAAACUUCUUUUAUAAAGGAAUAAAGUCGGGUAUGGAUACCCGUUUGCAUGUACUUUAUGAAUAAGGAUCGGCUAACUCCGUG